Molecule: ribosomal RNA, 294 nt
Filed under: uncultured bacterium
Lineage: Bacteria
Description: partial 16S ribosomal RNA
Rfam family: Bacterial small subunit ribosomal RNA
Source: RNAcentral
GUCCUACGGGACGCAGCAGUGGGGAAUAUUGCGCAAUGGGCGAAAGCCUGAUGCAGCAACGCCGCGUGAAGGAAGAAGGGUUUCGGCUCGUAAACUUCUAUCAACAGGGACGAAAGAAAUGACGGUACCUGAAUAAGAAGCCCCGGCUAACUACGUGCCAGCAGCCGCGGUAAUACGUAGGGGGCAAGCGUUAUCCGGAAUUACUGGGUGUAAAGGGUGAGUAGGCGGCAUGGUAAGCCAGAUGUGAAAGCCUUGGGCUUAACCCCGGGACUGCAUUGGGAACUGCCCCGCGCG